AGCGAACGCUGGCGGCAGGCUUAACACAUGCAAGUCGAACGGGCGUAGCAAUACGUCAGUGGCAGACGGGUGAGUAACGCGUGGGAACGUACCUUUUGGUUCGGAACAACCCAGGGAAACUUGGGCGUAAUACCGGAUAAGCCCUUACGGGAAAGGAUUUAUCGCCGAAAGAUCGGCCCGCGUCUGAUUAGCUAGUUGGUGUGGUAACGGCGCACCAAGGCGACGAUCAGUAGCUGGUCUGAGAGGAUGAUCAGCCACAUUGGGACUGAGACACGGCCCAAACUCCUACGGGAGGCAGCAGUGGGGAAGUAUUGGACAAUGGGCGCAAGCCUGAUCCAGCCAUGCCGCGUGAGUGAUGAA
This 360-nucleotide ribosomal RNA is filed under the name uncultured bacterium. Its description in RNAcentral is "bacterial SSU rRNA". It matches the Rfam family "Bacterial small subunit ribosomal RNA", at positions 29 to 412 of the family's 1533-position model. The record is from RNAcentral.